RNAcentral lists this ribosomal RNA (281 nucleotides) under uncultured bacterium. RNAcentral describes it as "partial 16S ribosomal RNA". It matches the Rfam family "Bacterial small subunit ribosomal RNA", at positions 773 to 1060 of the family's 1533-position model. The record is from RNAcentral.
GUGGAUUAGAUACCCUGGUAGUCCACACCGUAAACGAUGAUUACUAGAUUUUGGCCUUAUGGUCAGAGUCCAAGCGAAAGUGUUAAGUAAUCCACCUGGGGAGUACGUCCGCAAGGAUGAAACUCAAAGGAAUUGACGGGGGCCCGCACAAGCGGUGGAGCAUGUGGUUUAAUUCGAUGAUACGCGAGGAACCUUACCUGGGCUUGAAAGUUAGUGACCGAUCCUGAAAGGGGUCUUUCCGCAAGGACACGAAACUAGGUGCUGCACGGCUGUCGUCAACU